UUUGAUCNUGGCUCAGAUUGAACGCUGGCGGCAUGCCUUACACAUGCAAGUCGAACGGCAGCACGGGGGCAACCCUGGUGGCGAGUGGCGAACGGGUGAGUAAUACAUCGGAACGUGUCCUGUAGUGGGGGAUAACGCCGCGAAAGCCGGAUUAAUACCGCAUACGCUCUACGGAGGAAAGGGGGGGAUCUUAGGACCUCCCGCUACAGGGGCGCCGAUGGCAGAUUAGCUAGUUGGUGGGGUAAAGGCCUACCAAGGCGACGAUCUGUAGCUGGUCUGAGAGGACGACCAGCCACACUGGGACUGAGACACCGGCCCAGACUCCUACGGGAGGCAGCAGUGGGGAAUUUUGGACAAUGGGGGCAACCUGAUCCAGCAAUGCCGCGUGUGUGAAGAAGGCCUUCGGGUUGUAAAGCACUUUUGUCCGGAAAGAAAACGCCGUGGUUAAUACCCGUGGCGGAUGACGGUACCGGAAGAAUAAGCACCGGCUAACUACGUGCCAGCAGCCGCGGUAAUACGUAGGGUGCAAGCGUUAAUCGGAAUUACUGGGCGUAAAGCGUGCGCAGGCGGUCCGCUAAGACAGAUGUGAAAUCCCCGGGCUUAACCUGGGAACUGCAUUUGUGACUGGCGGGCUAGAGUAUGGCAGAGGGGGGUAGAAUUCCACGUGUAGCAGUGAAAUGCGUAGAGAUGUGGAGGAAUACCCAUGGCGAAGGCAGCCCCCUGGCCAAUACUGACGCUCAUGCACGAAGCG
This 751-nucleotide ribosomal RNA is filed under the name Thiolamprovum pedioforme. Its description in RNAcentral is "bacterial SSU rRNA". It matches the Rfam family "Bacterial small subunit ribosomal RNA", at positions 12 to 761 of the family's 1533-position model. Lineage: Bacteria; Pseudomonadati; Pseudomonadota; Gammaproteobacteria; Chromatiales; Chromatiaceae. The record is from RNAcentral.